GACGAACGCUGGCGGCGUGCAUAACACAUGCAAGUCGAACGAAGUGGCGAACGGGUGAGUAAUGCGUAAACAACCUGCCCUUCAGAGGGGGACAACAGUUGGAAACGACUGCUAAUACGGCAUACAGAAGGAGGGGAUUGCGUCUGAUUAGCUAGUUGGAGGGGUAACGGCCCACCAGGGCGAGGAUCAGUAGCCGGGCUGGGAGGAUGAACGGCCACAUUGGGACUGGGGCACGGCCCCGACUCCUACGGGAGGCAGCAGUGGGGAAUCUUCCGCAAUGGACGAAAGUCUGACGGAGCAACGCCGCGUGAGUGAUGGCGGCCUUCGGGUUGUAAAGCUCUGUUAAUCGGGACGCGGUACCGGAAUAGAAAGCCACGGCUAACUACGUGCCAGCCGCCGCGGUAAUUC
This 408-nucleotide ribosomal RNA is filed under the name uncultured bacterium. Its description in RNAcentral is "partial 16S ribosomal RNA". It matches the Rfam family "Bacterial small subunit ribosomal RNA", at positions 28 to 526 of the family's 1533-position model. The record is from RNAcentral.